AACAGGAUUAGAUACCCUGGUAGUCCACACCGUAAACGUUGGGCGCUAGGUGUGGGGUCCAUUCCACGGAUUCCGUGCCGCAGCUAACGCAUUAAGCGCCCCGCCUGGGGAGUACGGCCGCAAGGCUAAAACUCAAAGGAAUUGACGGAGGCCCGCACAAGCGGCGGAGCAUGCGGAUUAAUUCGAUGCAACGCGAAGAACCUUACCUGGGUUUGACAUACACCCUGCCGCUCCAGAGAUGGGGCUUCUUUUGGGGGUGUACAGGUGGUGCAUGGCUGUCGUCAGCUCGUGUCGUGAGAUGUUGGGUUAAGUCCCGCGACGAGCGCAACCCUCGUUCUAUGUUGCCAGCACGUUAUGGUGGGAACUCAUAGGAGACUGCCGGGGUCAACUCGGAGGAAGGUGGGGAUGACGUCAAAUCAUCAUGCCCCUUAUGUCUUGGGCUUCACGCAUGCUACAAUGGCCGGUACAAAGGGCUGCGAUACCGUAAGGUGGAGCGAAUCCCAAAAAGCCGGUCUCAGUUCGGAUUGAGGUCUGCAACUCGACCUCAUGAAGUCGGAGUCGCUAGUAAUCGCAGAUCAGCAACGCUGCGGUGAAUACGUUCCCGGGC
This 607-nucleotide ribosomal RNA is filed under the name uncultured bacterium. RNAcentral describes it as "bacterial SSU rRNA". It matches the Rfam family "Bacterial small subunit ribosomal RNA", at positions 771 to 1379 of the family's 1533-position model. The record is from RNAcentral.